AGUAGCUUGCUACUUUGCUGACGAGCGGCGGACGGGUGAGUAAUGCUUGGGAACAUGCCUUGAGGUGGGGGACAACAGUUGGAAACGACUGCUAAUACCGCAUAAUGUCUACGGACCAAAGGGGGCUUCGGCUCUCGCCUUUAGAUUGGCCCAAGUGGGAUUAGCUAGUUGGUGAGGUAAUGGCUCACCAAGGCGACGAUCCCUAGCUGGUUUGAGAGGAUGAUCAGCCACACUGGGACUGAGACACGGCCCAGACUCCUACGGGAGGCAGCAGUGGGGAAUAUUGCACAAUGGGCGCAAGCCUGAUGCAGCCAUGCCGCGUGUGUGAAGAAGGCCUUCGGGUUGUAAAGCACUUUCAGUCAGGAGGAAAGGUUAGUAGUUAAUACCUGCUAGCUGUGACGUUACUGACAGAAGAAGCACCGGCUAACUCCGUGCCAGCAGCCGCGGUAAUACGGAGGGUGCGAGCGUUAAUCGGAAUUACUGGGCGUAAAGCGUACGCAGGCGGUUUGUUAAGCGAGAUGUGAAAGCCCUGGGCUCAACCUGGGAACUGCAUUUCGAACUGGCAAACUAGAGUGUGAUAGAGGGUGGUAGAAUUUCAGGUGUAGCGGUGAAAUGCGUAGAGAUCUGAAGGAAUACCGAUGGCGAAGGCAGCCACCUGGGUCAACACUGACGCUCAUGUACGAAAGCGUGGGGAGCAAACGGGAUUAGAUACCCCGGUAGU
This 721-nucleotide ribosomal RNA is filed under the name Pseudoalteromonas sp. PA11. Its description in RNAcentral is "bacterial SSU rRNA". It matches the Rfam family "Bacterial small subunit ribosomal RNA", at positions 74 to 794 of the family's 1533-position model. Lineage: Bacteria; Pseudomonadati; Pseudomonadota; Gammaproteobacteria; Alteromonadales; Pseudoalteromonadaceae. The record is from RNAcentral.